RNAcentral lists this ribosomal RNA (281 nucleotides) under uncultured Peptoniphilus sp. Its description in RNAcentral is "partial 16S ribosomal RNA". It matches the Rfam family "Bacterial small subunit ribosomal RNA", at positions 77 to 355 of the family's 1533-position model. The record is from RNAcentral. Lineage: Bacteria; Bacillati; Bacillota; Tissierellia; Tissierellales; Peptoniphilaceae.
CGAAGAUAAGACGGAUUAGCGGCGGACGGGUGAGUAACACGUGAGUAACCUGCCUUUUACACAGGGAUAGCCUCGGGAAACCGGGAUUAAAACCUGAUGAAACUAUCAAAUCACAUGAUUAAGAAAGUUAAAACUCCGGUGGUAAAAGAUGGACUCGCGUCCCAUUAGCUAGUUGGUGAAGGUAACGGCCCACCAAGGCAACGAUGGGUAGCCGGCCUGAGAGGGUGAACGGCCACAUUGGAACUGAGAAACGGUCCAAACUCCUACGGGAGGCAGCAGCC